AGGAAGGCAGUCGUCCUCCCUGGGUACAGUAUGUCAGAUUCCCUUCGAUUGGCAGGAAGGUUGGGCGCUCUCCAUUGCAGUUGCUUUCAGCAGGACAUUAGGCUGAAGCUCCCCUGCCCAGCAGCAGUGCUGAGCUCAAUCAGAGGGCUGCUGGGAAGAAUUCACUGGAAAGGCAGAUUAGACCUUUUGCCAAGCCCACUCUAUGACUUCCGGAGCCUGGGAGCAUAACAAAAUACUGCUGGGAGCUGUGCUGAGUUAGUGCCUGAUACAUACAGUUGGUCAUUAUGUUCCUAGGACCCCAGCGAUUGAGGAGGUGGCUUGGACACCAGAAUUAUUACAGAACUGUUCAGAAUUCACACAGGCCAAGAGCGUUUCCUUUCAUCCCUAGGUGGAUCCCAGGUGACAGAAACAAUGCAGCUUUUGAGGGGGAUGGCAACAGCGAAUCAACAGCUAGGCAGUUCAAUAACCAAAACAGCUGGCCUGAGAGAUGGAGGAGACAGCUGACAUUUGGACCAGCGAGCAAAUCAUUGCCAAGUAAUGCAAGAAGCUUUUCUGACAGGUACCAAGUCCAGAUCAAACCCGGAUCAGUCCUCACAAUUUCUGUUGCCAGUCCUCAGGGAGGCCCAAAUAAGCUAUUCAGAAGAACCAAUGAGGAAAGUUCAUUUCAAACAAAUAAAUGGAACUCGCCUAAAAUUGAGAAAAUUCAGCCCAAAGGGAUUUCCCUGAGAUACAAUUUCCGGGCUGUUGCCAAUCAGACUAAAAUUACCCUCAAUGAAAGAUUCUCUGGCCUGCCCAUCCUCCCAAAGGAUUUCACAGUUACCAAACCUCGGAACAGAACCGUCACACUGCCUUAAAUGUUCACAGCUAUGAUAAUACAGAGUUAGUAGUUGCUUAAUGCAUUUUUUUUGCCAGAGAUAGUUAUUUUUCUUCAAAUAGUUUGCUGACAUAGACUUUCCACUUUAUGCUACAGUCUCAGUAAUCCAUUACUGUUGUGUGUAUACAUAUACCCCAAGGAACAAAAUCCCUGUGGGCUCUCUCUCUUCAUGUCCGUUUACUCGCAAAGUUGGCAGGUAACAUAGGAGACAGAAGGGGUGAAACAUCUCCGUGGCUUCUUACAGUCGCACCGUUGUCCUUUCCUCUUUGGGUGCCCUGUAGCAGUGGAGGGUUCGUUCACUCCCAGUUCACUUGUUCAUUAAAACUGAGGAACCCAUUUCAGAUCCUGUUCUACCAUUAGAGUAAACUAGCCCACAGGGGCUGCUCUGUCCAUAGCCUUGGGAGAGCAGUCACUCAGUCCAGCUGAACUUGACAUUUCCAAUGGAACAUCUGGGACAGACUGUUUGGCAUUUCUGUUGACAUUAACUGGCAUUGGACCUUAACAUGGAUUUGUAGAGAUUUACAGGUAGUUGCAUUCUAAGAUGGAGCACUGUCUACUAUGUGUACACAAACUAAAUAAAGACUAUGGAAACCAGGC
RNAcentral lists this long non-coding RNA (1471 nucleotides) under Phascolarctos cinereus (koala). RNAcentral's name for it is "lncRNA (ENSPCIG00000019370.2)". The record is from RNAcentral. Lineage: Eukaryota; Metazoa; Chordata; Mammalia; Diprotodontia; Phascolarctidae.